UACAGAGGUCUCAAGCGUUUGUUCGGAUUCAUUGGGCGUAAAGGGUGCGUAGGCGGCGUGGUAAGUCGGGUGUGAAAUCUCGGAGCUUAACUCCGAAACUGCAUUCGAUACUGCUCGGCUAGAGUAUGGGGAGAGGGUGAGUGGAAUUCCCGGGUGUAGCGGUGAAAUGCGUAGAUAUCGGGAGGAACAUCAGUGGACGAAGGCGGCUACCGUGGCCCAAUACUGACACUCAGGUGCGAACAGCCGGUGGGGAGCAAACAGGG
RNAcentral lists this ribosomal RNA (263 nucleotides) under uncultured bacterium. RNAcentral describes it as "partial 16S ribosomal RNA". It matches the Rfam family "Bacterial small subunit ribosomal RNA", at positions 524 to 777 of the family's 1533-position model. The record is from RNAcentral.